This 735-nucleotide ribosomal RNA is filed under the name uncultured Fusobacterium sp. RNAcentral describes it as "bacterial SSU rRNA". It matches the Rfam family "Bacterial small subunit ribosomal RNA", at positions 28 to 776 of the family's 1533-position model. Lineage: Bacteria; Fusobacteriati; Fusobacteriota; Fusobacteriia; Fusobacteriales; Fusobacteriaceae. The record is from RNAcentral.
GAUGAACGCUGACAGAAUGCUUAACACAUGCAAGUCAACUUGAAUUUGAGUUUUUAACUUAGGUUUGGGUGGCGGACGGGUGAGUAACGCGUAAAGAACUUGCCUCACAGCUAGGGACAACAUUUGGAAACGAAUGCUAAUACCUAAUAUUAUGAUAAUAGGGCAUCCUAUAAUUAUGAAAGCUAUAAGCGCUGUGAGAGAGCUUUGCGUCCCAUUAGCUAGUUGGAGAGGUAACGGCUCACCAAGGCGAUGAUGGGUAGCCGGCCUGAGAGGGUGAUCGGCCACAAGGGGACUGAGACACGGCCCUUACUCCUACGGGAGGCAGCAGUGGGGAAUAUUGGACAAUGGACCAAGAGUCUGAUCCAGCAAUUCUGUGUGCACGAUGAAGUUUUUCGGAAUGUAAAGUGCUUUCAGUUGGGAAGAAAAAAAUGACGGUACCAACAGAAGAAGUGACGGCUAAAUACGUGCCAGCAGCCGCGGUAAUACGUAUGUCACGAGCGUUAUCCGGAUUUAUUGGGCGUAAAGCGCGUCUAGGUGGUUAUAUAAGUCUGAUGUGAAAAUGCAGGGCUCAACUCUGUAUUGCGUUGGAAACUGUAUAACUAGAGUACUGGAGAGGUAAGCGGAACUACAAGUGUAGAGGUGAAAUUCGUAGAUAUUUGUAGGAAUGCCGAUGGGGAAGCCAGCUUACUGGACAGAUACUGACGCUGAAGCGCGAAAGCGUGGGUAGCAAACAGG